UAGGGAAUAUUGGGCAAUGGAGGCAACUCUGACCCAGCCAUGCCGCGUGCAGGAUGAAGGCCCUCUGGGUUGUAAACUGCUUUUAUCAGGGAAGAAACAACGGGAUUCAUCCUGUUCUGACGGUACCUGAGGAAUAAGCACCGGCUAACUCCGUGCCAGCAGCCGCGGUAAUACGGAGGGUGCAAGCGUUAUCCGGAUUUACUGGGUUUAAAGGGUGCGUAGGCGGGCUUUUAAGUCAGUGGUGAAAGAUUCGAGCUUAACUCGAAAACUGCCAUUGAUACUGAAGGCCUUGAGUACAGUUGAGGUGGGCGGAAUGAGUCAUGUAGCGGUGAAAUGCUUAGAUAUGACUCAGAACACCAAUUGCGAAGGCAGCUCGCUAAACUGUAACUGACGCUGAGGCACGAAAGCGUGGGUAGCAAACAGG
This 424-nucleotide ribosomal RNA is filed under the name uncultured bacterium. RNAcentral describes it as "bacterial SSU rRNA". It matches the Rfam family "Bacterial small subunit ribosomal RNA", at positions 355 to 776 of the family's 1533-position model. The record is from RNAcentral.